GAUGAACGCUGGCGGCGUGCCUAAUACAUGCAAGUCGAGCGAACAGACGAGGAGCUUGCUCCUCUGACGUUAGCGGCGGACGGGUGAGUAACACGUGGAUAACCUACCUAUAAGACUGGGAUAACUUCGGGAAACCGGAGCUAAUACCGGAUAAUAUAUUGAACCGCAUGGUUCAAUAGUGAAAGACGGUUUUGCUGUCACUUAUAGAUGGAUCCGCGCCGCAUUAGCUAGUUGGUAAGGUAACGGCUUACCAAGGCAACGAUGCGUAGCCGACCUGAGAGGGUGAUCGGCCACACGGGAACUGAGACACGGUCCAGACUCCUACGGGAGGCAGCAGUAGGGAAUCUUCCGCAAUGGGCGAAAGCUUUACGGAGCAACGCCGCGUGAGUGAUGAAGGUCUUCGGAUCGUAAAACUCUGUUAUUAGGGAAGAACAAAUGUGUAAGUAACUAUGCACGUCUUGACGGUACCUAAUCAGAAAGCCACGGCUAACUACGUG
RNAcentral lists this ribosomal RNA (497 nucleotides) under uncultured bacterium. RNAcentral's name for it is "partial 16S ribosomal RNA". It matches the Rfam family "Bacterial small subunit ribosomal RNA", at positions 28 to 507 of the family's 1533-position model. The record is from RNAcentral.